AGCGAACGCUGGCGGCAGGCUUAACACAUGCAAGUCGAACGGGCGUAGCAAUACGUCAGUGGCAGACGGGUGAGUAACGCGUGGGAACGUACCUUUUGGUUCGGAACAACACAGGGAAACUUGUGCUAAUACCGGAUAAGCCCUUACGGGGAAAGAUUUAUUGCCAAAAGAUCGGCCCGCGUCUGAUUAGCUAGUUGGUGAGGUAACGGCUCACCAAGGCGACGAUCAGUAGCUGGUCUGAGAGGAUGAUCAGCCACAUUGGGACUGAGGCACGGCCCAAACUCCUACGGGAGGCAGCAGUGGGGAAUAUUGGACAAUGGGCGAAAGCCUGAUCCAGCCAUGCCGCGUGAGUGAUGAAGGCCCUAGGGUUGUAAAGCUCUUUUGUGCGGGAAGAUAAUGACGGUACCGCAAGAAUAAGCCCCCGG
RNAcentral lists this ribosomal RNA (425 nucleotides) under uncultured bacterium. RNAcentral's name for it is "bacterial SSU rRNA". It matches the Rfam family "Bacterial small subunit ribosomal RNA", at positions 29 to 497 of the family's 1533-position model. The record is from RNAcentral.